GGUGACCUGCGGAAGGAUCAUUAUCGAGCU
Molecule: ribosomal RNA, 30 nt
Filed under: Dirofilaria immitis (dog heartworm nematode)
Lineage: Eukaryota; Metazoa; Nematoda; Chromadorea; Rhabditida; Onchocercidae
Description: partial 18S ribosomal RNA
Source: RNAcentral